RNAcentral lists this ribosomal RNA (1222 nucleotides) under Cylindratus longicephalus. RNAcentral describes it as "16S ribosomal RNA". The stretch from base 998 to 1155 matches the Rfam family "Archaeal large subunit ribosomal RNA", at positions 2544 to 2703 of the family's 2987-position model. The record is from RNAcentral. Lineage: Eukaryota; Metazoa; Arthropoda; Insecta; Hemiptera; Caliscelidae.
UUAAAAUUUUAAGUUAUUUUUUUUAUUUUUGUUUAUAUUAUUAUUGAAAGUUAUUUUAAUUGUUAAUGAUUUAUUUAAGUAAAUUAUUUUUUUAUAGUUAAUUUUACUGUAAGGGAUUUUUUUUUUUUUAAGAAGAAUAAUUUAAUUUAGUACCUUUUGUAUCAGGGUUAAUUAAAUUUAAAAAAUGAUUAUUUUUUUUCCCGAAAAUUUAAGAUUUAUUUAAUUUUUUAAGUUUUUGUUUUAUAAAAAUUUAAAAAUUUUAGUUGGAUUUGAUAUGAAAUUCGUUUAAUUCAAUAUCUGGUUAAUUGAGAAAUUAAUUUAAUUAAGGAUAUUUUUAGUUUAAUUUAUUUUAUUUCUGAAAUUUCUAGUUUUUAAGGGGAUAAGCUCUUAUUUAAUAUAUAAUUUAAAUUUAUUUAAUUUUUUUUUGUAGGUUUAAAAUCUUUCAACAAUUUAAGUUCGUUAUAGAUUGAAAAUAUUAAUUUUAUUAUAUUUAUUUUUUAAUCAGUUUUUUUAUUUAAAUAUUUAAGUUUUUAAUAAUGUUUAAAUUAGUAAAAUUUUAAAAUAAAUUUAUGAAUUGGGCAAAUUUUAUUUUCACCUGUUUAUCAAAAACAUGUCUUAAUGUUUAUAUUUUAAGUCUAACCUGCUCAGUGAAUUAAUUUUUAAAUAGCCGCGGUAUUUUAACUGUGCUAAGGUAGCAUAAUAAUUAGUCUUUUAAUUGGGGUCUUGAAUGAAUGGUUUAAUGAGAAAAAUACUUUAUUAAUUUUUUUUAUUUGAAUUUUAUUUUUUUUUUAAAAAGAAUUAAUGAUUAAGAGGGACGAUAAGACCCUAUAGAUCUUAAAAAUAAUAAAUAUAAAUUAAUUUUUUGUGGUAUUUUUUUUUAUUAUUAUUAUUUUUUUAUUGGGGUGAUAAUUAAAAUUUUAAACUUUAUUUUAUUUAAACAAUUUUUUUUGGUUAUUUUGAUUUUAAAUUUUGAAUUAAAAGAUUUAGAUACCUUAGGGAUAACAGCGUUAUUAAAUUGGAGAGUUCAAAUCGAUAAUUUAGUUUGCGACCUCGAUGUUGGAUUAAUCAAGUUUAUGGGGUAGAUUCUAUAAUUUUUGGUCUGUUCGACCUUUAAGUGAUUACAUGAUCUGAGUUCAAACCGGUGUAAGCCAGGUUGGUUUCUAUCUUCUUAUAAGGUUUUUUAAUUAGUACGAAAGGAUUUUUAAAAAAUAAUAUUUAUUUU